Long non-coding RNA from Oreochromis aureus, 301 nucleotides. RefSeq lists it as uncharacterized. NCBI's taxonomy places the organism in Eukaryota, Metazoa, Chordata, Actinopteri, Cichliformes, Cichlidae. The transcript is spliced from 3 exons. The record is from RefSeq and is a predicted model, not a curated record.
GUGUUUCCCUCUGUGAUCCAUCCCCUUCAGAGCUGAGACACUCAGGACUGAACAGACUGCACAGUUUCUGUGACUGCGCCUCCAAAACACCUUCUUUGAAACCACACAUGAUAGAAGGGCUUUAUAUUUGCAGCAGCACUACUAAAGUCGGCAGGAAUGUUGCUGCAGGAAAACAUCCCUGCAGAUCACCAUCAUUGUCAGACUGACUGUGCCUCCUCUGUGCAGUGUCAAGAUCCUCCCUAAAUGAGUGUUCCUCAGCUAUCCUGCUUCUGUGCUGCUUGCCACACAUCAAACACUGGCC